GAUCAUGGCUCAGGAUGAACGCUAGCGGGAGGCCUAACACAUGCAAGCCGAGCGGUAGAGAUUCUUCGGAAUCUUGAGAGCGGCGUACGGGUGCGGAACACGUGUGCAACCUACCUUUAUCUGGAGGAUAGCCUUUCGAAAGGAAGAUUAAUACUCCAUAAUAUAUUGAUUGGCAUCAAUUGAUAUUGAAAGCUCCGGCGGAUAGAGAUGGGCACGCGCAAGAUUAGUUAGUUGGUGAGGUAACGGCUCACCAAGACGAUGAUCUUUAGGGGCCUGAGAGGGUGAUCCCCCACACUGGUACUGAGACACGGACCAGACUCCUACGGGAGGCAGCAGUGAGGAAUAUUGGUCAAUGGGUGCAAGCCUGAACCAGCCAUCCCGCGUGAAGGACGACUGCCCUAUGGGUUGUAAACUUCUUUUGUAUAGGGAUAAACCUACCCUCGUGAGGGUAGCUGAAGGUACUAUACGAAUAAGCACCGGCUAACUCCGUG
Molecule: ribosomal RNA, 491 nt
Filed under: uncultured bacterium
Lineage: Bacteria
Description: bacterial SSU rRNA
Rfam family: Bacterial small subunit ribosomal RNA
Source: RNAcentral